Molecule: ribosomal RNA, 370 nt
Filed under: uncultured organism
Description: bacterial SSU rRNA
Rfam family: Bacterial small subunit ribosomal RNA
Source: RNAcentral
CGUAGGGUGCGAGCGUUAAUCGGAAUUACUGGGCGUAAAGCGUGCGCAGGCGGUUAUAUAAGACAGAUGUGAAAUCCCCGGGCUCAACCUGGGAACUGCAUUUGUGACUGUAUAGCUAGAGUACGGCAGAGGGGGAUGGAAUUCCGCGUGUAGCAGUGAAAUGCGUAGAUAUGCGGAGGAACACCGAUGGCGAAGGCAAUCCCCUGGGCCUGUACUGACGCUCAUGCACGAAAGCGUGGGGAGCAAACAGGAUUAGAUACCCUGGUAGUCCACGCCCUAAACGAUGUCAACUGGUUGUAGGGUCUUCACUGGCUCAGUAACGAAGCUAACGCGUGAAGUUGACCGCCUGGGGAGUACGGCCGCAAGGUUG